CCUACGGGUGGCAGCAGUGGGGAAUAUUGCACAAUGGGGGAAACCCUGAUGCAGCGACGCCGCGUGCGUGAAGAAGUACUUCGGUAUGUAAAGCUCUAUCAGCAGGGGAGAAAAUUACGGUACCUGAGUAAGAAGCCCCGUCUAACUACGUGCCAGCAGCCGCGGUAAUACGUAGGGGGCAAGCGUUAUCCGGAUUUACUGGGUGUAAAGGGAGCGUAGACGGCAGUGCAAGUCUGGAGUGAAAUGCCGGGGCUCAACCCCGGAACUGCUGUGGAAACGGUACUGCUUGAGUGCAGGAGAGGUAAGUGGAAUUCCUAGUGUAGCGGUGAAAUGCGUAGAUAUUAGGAAGAACACCAGUGGCGAAGGCGGCUUACUGGACUGUAACUGACGUUGAGGCUCGAAAGCGUGGGGAGCAAACAGGAUUAGAUACCCGUGUAGUC
Molecule: ribosomal RNA, 440 nt
Filed under: uncultured bacterium
Lineage: Bacteria
Description: partial 16S ribosomal RNA
Rfam family: Bacterial small subunit ribosomal RNA
Source: RNAcentral